Mandrillus leucophaeus (drill) is the source of this 1679-nucleotide RNA transcript. It is a transcript of the gene named basic leucine zipper and W2 domain-containing protein 1-like, with no coding region annotated. NCBI's taxonomy places the organism in Eukaryota, Metazoa, Chordata, Mammalia, Primates, Cercopithecidae. The record is from RefSeq and is a predicted model, not a curated record. The transcript has a single exon.
GGUUGCAGAGGAGACACCAUGGCAGUUGCUGCUACAUUGGGGACUUCUGGCUCUUUCCUCUUUGCCUUAAAUUCGGGUGUCUUUUAUGAAUAAUCAAAAGCAGCAAAAGCCAACGCUAUCAGGCCAGCGUUUUAAAACUAGAAAAAGAGAUGAAAAAGAGAGGGAGGGUUGACCCUACUCAGUUUCAAGACUGUAUUAUUCAAGGCUUAACUGAAACUGGUACUGAUUUGGAAGCAGUAGCUAAGUUUCUUGAUGCUUUUCUGGAACAAAACUUGAUUACCGUCGAUGUGCAGAAACACUCAUUGACAUUCUGGUGGCUGAUGGAAUGCUGGCCCCAGGUGGUACACUGGCAGAUGACAUGAUGCAUACAGAUGUCUGCGUGUUUGCAGCCCAAGAAGACCUAGAGACUAUGCAAGCAUUUGCUCAGGUUUUUAACAAGUUAAUCAGGCACUACAAAUACCUGGAGAAAGGUUGUGAAGAUGAAGUAAAAAAGCUGCUGCUGUUCUGAAAGGGUUUUUGAGUCAGAGAGGAACAAACUGGCUAUGUUGACUGGUGUUCUUCUGGCUAAUGACAUCCAUUCUUAAUAGCCUUUAUAAUGAGAAUUUGGUUAAAGAAGGGGUUUCAGCAGCUUUUGCUGUAAAGCUCUUUAAAUCAUGAAUAAAUGAAAAAGAUAUCAAUGCAGUAGCUUCAAGUCUUCGGAAAGUCAGUAUGGAUAAUAGCCUGAUGGAACUUCUUCCCGCCAAUAAGCAAAGCGUUAAACACUUCACAAAGUAUUUUACUGAGGCAGGCUUGAAAGAGCUUUCAGAAUAUGUUCGGAAUCAGCAAACCAUUGGAGCUCGUAAGGAGCUCCAGAAAGAACUUCAAGAACAGAUGUCCCGUGGUGAUCCAUUUAAGGAUAUAAUUUUAUAUGUCAAGGAGAAGAUGAAAAAAAAACAACAUCCCAGAACCAGUUGUCAUCAAAACAGUCUGGUCAAAUGUAAUGAGGUCUGUGGAAUGCAACAAAAAAGAGGAGCUUGUAGCACAGCAAACUGUCAAGCAUUUGAAGCGAUACAGCACUCUACUUGCCGCCUUUACUACUCAAGGUCAGUCUGAGCUGAUUCUGUAACUGAAGAUUCAGGAGUAUUGCUAUGACAACAUUCAUUUCAUGAAAGCCUUCCAGAAAAUAGUGGUGCUUUUUUAUAAAGCUGAAGUCCUGAGUGAAGAGCCCAUUUUGAAGUGGUAUAAAGGCACACAUGUUGCAAAGGGGAAGAGUGUUUUCCUUGAGCAAAUGAGAAAGUUUGGAGAGUGGUUCAAAAAUCCUGAAGAAGGAUCUGAAUCUGAAGCUGAAGAACGUGACUGAAAUUUGAAACUACACCCUCUGUAAAAUAAACAGAAGCUGUAGAUAAACUGUCAUGUCUCAUGUGUCCUGGUUCUUACAUCUUCCUACCUCCCUGUAUCAAGCAUGACAUAAGGGCUUUCAUGGCAAAUUUUAUUUUAACUGUUUCUAUGGUUGCUGGAAAUGUUGGGUUUAGUUUCUAAAACCAUGUUUUAAGUAGCUACAGGAGCUAUAGAUUUGAAUCUAAUGUUGCAUUAGUCUUAUCAGUUAUCUUCUACCUCCUGUAUUUUCUACUGUAAUAAUGUAAUUUAAGGACUUCCACAAUGAACAGUUCACUUUAUUCCCUGGGUUUUCUAUAAACAGU